Molecule: ribosomal RNA, 495 nt
Filed under: uncultured bacterium
Lineage: Bacteria
Description: partial 16S ribosomal RNA
Rfam family: Bacterial small subunit ribosomal RNA
Source: RNAcentral
GACGAACGCUGGCGGCGUGCCUAAUACAUGCAAGUAGAACGCUGAAGGAGGAGCUUGCUCUUCUGGAUGAGUUGCGAACGGGUGAGUAACGCGUAGGUAACCUGCCUGGUAGCGGGGGAUAACUAUUGGAAACGAUAGCUAAUACCGCAUAACAGUAGAUGUUGCAUGACAUUUACUUAAAAGGUGCAAUUGCAUCACUACCAGAUGGACCUGCGUUGUAUUAGCUAGUUGGUGGGGUAACGGCUCACCAAGGCGACGAUACAUAGCCGACCUGAGAGGGUGAUCGGCCACACUGGGACUGAGACACGGCCCAGACUCCUACGGGAGGCAGCAGUAGGGAAUCUUCGGCAAUGGACGGAAGUCUGACCGAGCAACGCCGCGUGAGUGAAGAAGGUUUUCGGAUCGUAAAGCUCUGUUGUGAGAGAAGAACGAGUGUGAGAGUGGAAAGUUCACACUGUGACGGUAUCUUACCAGAAAGGGACGGCUAACUACGUG